GACGAACGCUGGCGGCGCGCCUAACACAUGCAAGUCGAACGGAGUCAAGAGGAGCUUGCUUUUCUUGACUUAGUGGCGAACGGGUGAGUAACGCGUGAGUAACCUGCCCUGGAGUGGGGGACAACAGUUGGAAACGACUGCUAAUACCGCAUAAGCCCACGGAUCUGCAUGGAUCUGCGGGAAAAGGAUUUAUUCGCUCUAGGAUGGACUCGCGUCCAAUUAGCUAGGUGGUGAGGUAACGGCCCACCAAGGCGACGAGUGGUAGCCGGACUGAGAGGUUGAGCGGCCACAUUGGGGCUGAGACACGGCCCAGACUCCUACGGGAGGCAGCAGUGGGGGAUAUUGCACAAUGGGGGAAACCCUGAUGCAGCGACGCCGCGUGGAGGAAGAAGGUUUUCGGAUUGUAAACUCCUGUCGUUAGGGACGAUAAUGACGGUACCUAACAAGAAAGCACCAGCUAACUACGUG
RNAcentral lists this ribosomal RNA (468 nucleotides) under uncultured bacterium. RNAcentral describes it as "partial 16S ribosomal RNA". It matches the Rfam family "Bacterial small subunit ribosomal RNA", at positions 28 to 507 of the family's 1533-position model. The record is from RNAcentral.